AUAUCAAUAAGCGGAGGAAAAGAAACCAACAGGGAUUGCCUCAGUAACGGCGAGUGAAGCGGCAACAGCUCAAAUUUGAAAUCUGGCCUUACGGUCCGAGUUGUAAUUUGUAGAGGAUGUUUUGGGUACCGCCGCGGUUUAAAUUUCUUGGAACAGAAUGUCAGAGAGGGUGAGAGUCCCGUCUUGGAUUGCGGUAGGGCCUGUGUAAAACUCCUUCGACGAGUCGACUUGUUUGGGAAUGCAGGUCAAAAUGGGUGGUAAAUUUCAUCUAAAGCUAAAUAUUGGCCAGAGACCGAUAGCGCACAAGUAGAGUGAUCGAAAGAUGAAAAGCACUUUGAAAAGAGAGUUAAACAGUAUGUGAAAUUGUUGAAAGGGAAGCGCUGGCAACCAGACUCGUGCGCGGGGUUCCCCCUUGCUUCUGCUUGGGUCACUUCCCCGUGUCCGGGCCAUCAUCAGUUUCGGGGGCCGGUUAAAGGCUCUGGGAAUGUAUCUACUCCUUCGGGGGUAGACUUAUAGCCCAGGGUGUCAUGCGGCCACUCGGGACUGAGGAACGCGCUUCGGCGAGGAUGAUGGCGUAAUGGUUGUCAGCGA
RNAcentral lists this ribosomal RNA (591 nucleotides) under uncultured fungus. Its description in RNAcentral is "eukaryotic LSU rRNA". It matches the Rfam family "Eukaryotic large subunit ribosomal RNA", at positions 40 to 647 of the family's 3401-position model. The record is from RNAcentral. Lineage: Eukaryota; Fungi.